GACGAACGCUGGCGGCGCGCUUAACACAUGCAAGUCGAACGGAAAGGCCUGCUUUCCCUUGUGGAUUGCGGGUACUCGAGUGGCGAACGGGUGAGUAACACGUGAGUGAUCUGCCCCCAACUUGGGUAUAAGCCUGGGAAACUGGGUCUAAUUCCCGAUAGGACUGCAGGGUGGUGCCUGUGGUGGAGAACGAUUUUCUAGUGGUUGGGGAUGAGCUCGCGGCCUAUCAGCUUGUUGGUGGGGUAAUGGCCUACCAAGGCGGCGACGGGUAGCCGGCCUGGGAGGGUGGACGGCCACAUUGGGACUGAGAUACGGCCCAGACUCCUACGGGAGGCAGCAGUGGGGAAUAUUGCACAAUGGGCGGAAGCCUGAUGCAGCGACGCCGCGUGGGGGAUGACGGCCUUCGGGUUGUAAACUCCUUUCGACCGCGAGGAAGCCACCUGGUUGGAAGGGUGGUGACGGUAGUGGUAGAAGAAGCACCGGCUAACUACGUG
RNAcentral lists this ribosomal RNA (494 nucleotides) under uncultured bacterium. RNAcentral describes it as "partial 16S ribosomal RNA". It matches the Rfam family "Bacterial small subunit ribosomal RNA", at positions 28 to 507 of the family's 1533-position model. The record is from RNAcentral.